AAUUCUUAAAUAAAUAAUCACUUAAUAGUGCAUGUUCUUUAAUUUUCAUUACAUGUUGAUCCAAAAUAUGCACCUAGCGUGCAUUACAAAAAUGUUUCCCAAAGUAGCACAUAUUGUCCAUUACAUAGAAGUUACAAAAUAGAUGUUUCUUAGAUUACAAUACAAACUACCUAAUAAUAAGCAUUACUGAGUCAUUAUCCUUGAAAUAUCCCCCCAUGAUCUCAUUUUCUUCCCA
Molecule: long non-coding RNA, 235 nt
Filed under: Lathyrus oleraceus (garden pea)
Lineage: Eukaryota; Viridiplantae; Streptophyta; Magnoliopsida; Fabales; Fabaceae
Description: Pisum sativum (pea) long non-coding RNA (PSAT_LNC015915)
Source: RNAcentral